This 253-nucleotide ribosomal RNA is filed under the name uncultured bacterium. RNAcentral describes it as "partial 16S ribosomal RNA". It matches the Rfam family "Bacterial small subunit ribosomal RNA", at positions 524 to 776 of the family's 1533-position model. The record is from RNAcentral.
AACGUAGGAGACAAACGUUAUCCGGAGUUACUGGGCGUAAAGGGCGUGUAGGCGGUCGACUAAGUCUGGCGUGAAAGCUCGCGGCUAAACCGCGAGAGGUCGUUGGAUACUGGUUGACUAGAGGACGGUAGAGGCGUGUGGAAUUCCUGGUGUAGCGGUGAAAUGCGCAGAUAUCAGGAGGAACACCGAUGGCGAAGGCAGGUCUCUGGGCAUUAACUGACGCUGAGGAGCGAAAGCAUGGGGAGCGAACAGG